This 120-nucleotide small nucleolar RNA is filed under the name Echinops telfairi (small Madagascar hedgehog). RNAcentral's name for it is "Small nucleolar RNA SNORA61 (ENSETEG00000024685.1)". The record is from RNAcentral. Lineage: Eukaryota; Metazoa; Chordata; Mammalia; Afrosoricida; Tenrecidae.
ACCCUCCAGAUGCCUUCCCUCUCAGAUCUAAAUAUUGGUCUGAGUGGCCGAAAAAGGAGGGAAAGUAAAAUGAAGUGGACUUGGAGCCUUCAGUGGUGUACAAGUUUAUUUCAAACAUCA